AUACGAAGGGGGCUAGCGUUGUUCGGAAUCACUGGGCGUAAAGCGCGCGUAGGUGGAUCAAUUAGUUGAGGGUGAAAUCCCGGGGCUCAACCUCGGAACUGCCUUCAAUACUGUUGAUCUUGAGACCGAGAGAGGGGAGUGGAAUUCCUAGUGUAGAGGUGAAAUUCGUAGAUAUUAGGAAGAACACCAGUGGCGAAGGCGGCUCACUGGCUCGGUACUGACGCUGAGGUGCGAAAGCGUGGGGAGCAAACAGGAUUAGAAACCCUAGUAGUCC
Molecule: ribosomal RNA, 274 nt
Filed under: uncultured bacterium
Lineage: Bacteria
Description: partial 16S ribosomal RNA
Rfam family: Bacterial small subunit ribosomal RNA
Source: RNAcentral